This 87-nucleotide small nucleolar RNA is filed under the name Moschus moschiferus (Siberian musk deer). RNAcentral describes it as "Small nucleolar RNA SNORA3/SNORA45 family (ENSMMSG00000020991.1)". It matches the Rfam family "Small nucleolar RNA SNORA3/SNORA45 family", at positions 1 to 87 of the family's 131-position model. From Rfam's summary of the family: The members of this family belong to the H/ACA class of snoRNAs which are thought to guide the sites of modification of uridines to pseudouridines. Lineage: Eukaryota; Metazoa; Chordata; Mammalia; Artiodactyla; Moschidae. The record is from Rfam by way of RNAcentral.
AUCGAGGCUAGAGUCACACUUGGGUAUCAGCUGUUGCCUUUGUGUGCUAGAGCCCUUGAAGAGUAACUGCUGACCUUAGUCACUCAC